This 333-nucleotide ribosomal RNA is filed under the name uncultured bacterium. RNAcentral's name for it is "partial 16S ribosomal RNA". It matches the Rfam family "Bacterial small subunit ribosomal RNA", at positions 338 to 682 of the family's 1533-position model. The record is from RNAcentral.
CCUACGGGUGGCUGCAGUCGAGAAUCAUUCACAAUGGGGGAAACCCUGAUGGGGCGACGCCGCGUGGGGGAAUGAAGGUCUGCGGAUUGUAAACCCCUGUCAUGUGGGAGCAAAUUAAAAAGAUAGUACCACAAGAGGAAGAGACGGCUAACGCUGGGCCAGCAGCCGCGGUAAUACAGAGGUCUCAAGCGUUGUUCGGAAUCACUGGGCGUAAAGCGUGCUUAGGCUUUUUCGUAAGUCGUGUGUGAAAGGCGCGGGCUCCACCCGCGGACGGCACAUGAUACUGCGAGACUAGAGUAAUGGCGGGGGAACCGGACUUCUCGUUGUCGCCGU